CCCUUAGAUGUUCUGGGCCGCACGCGCGCUACACUGAUACGAUCAGCGAGUUGCGACCUGGGCCGAGAGGCCUGGGUAAUCUUGUGAAAUCGUAUCGUGUUGGGGCUUGACGAUUGCAAUUUUUCGUCACAAACGAGGAAUUCCUAGUAAGCGCAAGUCAUCAGCUUGCAUUGAUUACGUCCCUGCCCUUUGUACACACCGCCCGUCGCUCCUACCGAUUGAAUGUUCCGGUGAACACUCCGGAGUCAUGGCUUUGUGCUUGGGGUGACCCAUCCUGGCUAAUGGUGAAGUUGUGUGAACCUUAACAUUUAGAGGAAGGAGAAGUCGUAACA
RNAcentral lists this ribosomal RNA (332 nucleotides) under uncultured eukaryote. Its description in RNAcentral is "partial 18S ribosomal RNA". It matches the Rfam family "Eukaryotic small subunit ribosomal RNA", at positions 1470 to 1796 of the family's 1831-position model. The record is from RNAcentral.